RNAcentral lists this ribosomal RNA (1063 nucleotides) under uncultured cyanobacterium. Its description in RNAcentral is "bacterial SSU rRNA". It matches the Rfam family "Bacterial small subunit ribosomal RNA", at positions 473 to 1533 of the family's 1533-position model. Lineage: Bacteria; Bacillati; Cyanobacteriota. The record is from RNAcentral.
CGGUACCUGAAGAAAAAGCAUCGGCUAACUCCGUGCCAGCAGCCGCGGUAAUACGGAGGAUGCAAGCGUUAUCCGGAAUCAUUGGGCGUAAAGGGUCCGCAGGUGGCCAAUCAAGUCGGCUGUUAAAGACCGGGGCUUAACUCCGGGCAGGCAGCGGAAACUGAUUAGCUAGAGUACGGUAGGGGUAGAGGGAAUUCCCAGUGUAGCGGUGAAAUGCGUAGAUAUUGGGAAGAACACCGGUGGCGAAAGCGCUCUACUAGGCCGAAACUGACACUGAGGGACGAAAGCUAGGGUAGCGAAAGGGAUUAGAUACCCCUGUAGUCUUAGCUGUAAACGAUGGAUACUAGGUGUAGCUCGUAUCGACCCCAGCUGUGCCAAAGUUAACGCGAUAAGUAUCCCGCCUGGGGAGUACGCACGCAAGUGUGAAACUCAAAGGAAUUGACGGGGGCCCGCACAAGCGGUGGAGUAUGUGGUUUAAUUCGAUGCAACGCGAAGAACCUUACCAGGGCUUGACAUGUCGCGAAUCUAGCGGAAACGUUAGAGUGCCUUAGGGAAUGCGAACACAGGUGGUGCAUGGCUGUCGUCAGCUCGUGUCGUGAGAUGUUGGGUUAAGUCCCGCAACGAGCGCAACCCUCGUCCUUAGUUGCCAAUAUUAAGUUAGGCACUCUAGGGAUACUGCCGGGGACAACUCGGAGGAAGGUGGGGAUGACGUCAAGCCAGCAUGCCCCUUACGUCCUGGGCGACACACGUACUACAAUGGUUGGAACAAAGGGCAGCAAGCUCGCGAGAGUAAGCGAAUCUCAUCAAACCCAGCCACAGUUCAGAUUGCAGGCUGCAACUCGCCUGCAUGAAGUAGGAAUCGCUAGUAAUCGCAGGUCAGCAUACUGCGGUGAAUUCGUUCCCGGGCCUUGUACACACCGCCCGUCACACCAUGGAAGCUGGCUACGCCCGAAGUCGUUACCCUAACCCUAAGGGGAGGGGGAUGCCGAAGGCAGAGCUAGUGACUGGGGUGAAGUCGUAACAAGGUAGCCGUACCUGAAGGUGUGGCUGGAUCACCUCCUUU